CUAGAGUUGUUAGGGAAGUUUUAAUGCAGGGAGUAAGACUUGGGCUAUAUCCUAAAGGAUUUUGAUAACUGAAAAUAACAGUGAGGGCGACAUUCUAAGUAGGGGAACCACUGGGAACUCCAGUAUGUUGAUCUCUUUCAGAAUAAUCAAUUUUAUAUAGGCUGGAAGAUUUUCAGGAUGAUCCUGAUAACUUAAGUGACUCUCUCUUUUCCGGUGAUGAAGAAAAUGCUGGGACUGAGGAAAUAAAGAAUGAAAUAAAUGGAAAUUGGAUUUCAGCAUCCUCCAUUAACGAAGCUAGAAUUAAUGCCAAGGCAAAAAGGCGACUAAGGAAAAACUCAUCCCGGGACUCUGGCAGAGGCGAUUCGGUCAGCGACAAUGGGAGUGACGCCCUUAGAAGUGGAGUAACUGUGCCAACCAGUCCAAAGGGAAGGUUGCUGGAUAGGCGAUCCAGAUCUGGGAAAGGAAGGGGACUACCAAAGAAAGGUGGUGCAGGAGGCAAAGGUGUCUGGGGUACACCUGGACAGGUGUAUGAUGUGGAGGAGGUGGAUGUGAAAGAUCCUAACUAUGAUGAUGACCAGGAGAACUGUGUUUAUGAAACUGUAGUUUUGCCUUUGGAUGAAAGGGCAUUUGAGAAGACUUUAACACCAAUCAUACAGGAAUAUUUUGAGCAUGGAGAUACUAAUGAAGUUGCGGAAAUGUUAAGAGAUUUAAAUCUUGGUGAAAUGAAAAGUGGAGUACCAGUGUUGGCAGUAUCCUUAGCAUUGGAGGGGAAGGCUAGUCAUAGAGAGAUGACAUCUAAGCUUCUUUCUGACCUUUGUGGGACAGU
RNAcentral lists this small RNA (826 nucleotides) under Pan troglodytes (chimpanzee). RNAcentral describes it as "processed transcript". The record is from RNAcentral. Lineage: Eukaryota; Metazoa; Chordata; Mammalia; Primates; Hominidae.